Molecule: ribosomal RNA, 436 nt
Filed under: Oligobregma brasierae
Lineage: Eukaryota; Metazoa; Annelida; Polychaeta; Scalibregmatidae
Description: partial 16S ribosomal RNA
Rfam family: Bacterial large subunit ribosomal RNA
Source: RNAcentral
AAGGUAGCAUAAUAAUUAGCCCUCUAAUUAGGGGAUAGUAUCAACGAGCGCACGAGAAAGUAACUGUCUCUUAAACAAAAAUAAAAAUUAACCUUUAGGUGAAGAGGCCUAGAUUAAAUUAAAGGACAAAAAGACCCUAUUGAGCUUUACUUAUUUAAAUACUUUUUCUAUUUUCUAUCCAACGGAAAAUUUUAAUAUAGUUUGGUUGGGGCGACCGAGGAAAAUAAAACACUUCCUUUAACAAAAAGACUCCAUGUCACCCAAAAGAGCCGUUAUACGAUUUUUGAAAACAGCUACCUUAGGGAUAACAGGCUAAUCCCCCUUGAGAGUCCACAUUGACAGGGGGGUUUGGCACCUCGAUGUUGGCUUAAGGCACCCAUUAGAUGAAGACGUCAUAAACGGUAGGUUUGUUCAACCUUUAAAGCCCUUACGUGAU